RNAcentral lists this ribosomal RNA (253 nucleotides) under uncultured bacterium. RNAcentral describes it as "partial 16S ribosomal RNA". It matches the Rfam family "Bacterial small subunit ribosomal RNA", at positions 524 to 776 of the family's 1533-position model. The record is from RNAcentral.
UACGUAGGGGGCAAGCGUUAUCCGGAUUUACUGGGUGUAAAGGGGGCGCAGACGGCGAUGCAAGCCAGGAGUGAAAGCCCGGGGCCCAACCCCGGGACUGCUCUUGGAACUGCGUAGCUGGAGUGCAGGAGGGGCAGGCGGAAUUCCUGGUGUAGCGGUGAAAUGCGUAGAUAUCAGGAGGAACACCGGUGGCGAAGGCGGCCUGCUGGACUGCAACUGACGUUGAGGCCCGAAAGCGUGGGGAGCAAACAGG